GACGAACGCUGGCGGCGUGCUUAACACAUGCCAGUCGAACGGAAAGGCCCUGCUUUUGUGGGGUGCUCGAGUGGCGAACGGGUGAGUAACACGUGAGUAACCUGCCCUUGACUUUGGGAUAACUUCAGGAAACUGGGGCUAAUACCGGAUAGGAGCUCCUGCUGCAUGGUGGGGGUUGGAAAGUUUCGGCGGUUGGGGAUGGACUCGCGGCUUAUCAGCUUGUUGGUGGGGUAGUGGCUUACCAAGGCUUUGACGGGUAGCCGGCCUGAGAGGGUGACCGGCAAAAUUGGGAAUGAGAUACGGCCCAGACUCCUACGGGAGGCAGCAGUGGGGAAUAUUGCACAAUGGGCGGAAGCCUGAUGCAGCAACGCCGCGUGCGGGAUGACGGCCUUCGGGUUGUAAACCGCUUUCGCCUGUGACGAAGCGUGAGUGACGGUAAUGGGUAAAGAAGCACCGGCUAACUACGUG
Molecule: ribosomal RNA, 468 nt
Filed under: uncultured bacterium
Lineage: Bacteria
Description: partial 16S ribosomal RNA
Rfam family: Bacterial small subunit ribosomal RNA
Source: RNAcentral